RNAcentral lists this ribosomal RNA (513 nucleotides) under uncultured bacterium. Its description in RNAcentral is "partial 16S ribosomal RNA". It matches the Rfam family "Bacterial small subunit ribosomal RNA", at positions 28 to 507 of the family's 1533-position model. The record is from RNAcentral.
GACGAACGCUGGCGGCGUGCUUAACACAUGCAAGUCGAACGAGAGCGUAGAGAAAGCUUGCUUUUUCUACAAUCUAGUGGCAAACGGGUGAGUAACGCGUAAACAACCUGCCCUACGGAUGGGGACAACAGCUGGAAACGGCUGCUAAUACCGAAUACGUUCCGAAAGUCGCAUGACUAUCGGAAGAAAGGAUGGCCUCUAUUUAUAAGCUAUCGCCGGAGGAGGGGUUUGCGUCUGAUUAGCUAGUUGGAGGGGUAACGGCCCACCAAGGCGACGAUCAGUAGCCGGUCUGAGAGGAUGAACGGCCACAUUGGAACUGAGACACGGUCCAGACUCCUACGGGAGGCAGCAGUGGGGAAUCUUCCCCAAUAGGCGAAAGCCUGACGGAGCAACGCCGCGUGAGUGAAGACGGCCUUCGGGUUGUAAAGCUCUGUUAUACGGGACGAAUAAUCUUGUGGUUAAUACCCAUGAGAAGUGACGGUACCGUAAGAGAAAGCCACGGCUAACUACGUG